This 1180-nucleotide ribosomal RNA is filed under the name metagenome. Its description in RNAcentral is "bacterial SSU rRNA". It matches the Rfam family "Bacterial small subunit ribosomal RNA", at positions 8 to 1207 of the family's 1533-position model. The record is from RNAcentral.
AGAGUUUGAUCCUGGCUCAGGACGAACGCUGGCGGCGCGCCUAACACAUGCAAGUCGAACGGAGUCAAGAGGAGCUUGCUUUUCUUGACUUAGUGGCGAACGGGUGAGUAACGCGUGAGUAACCUGCCCUGGAGUGGGGGACAACAGUUGGAAACGACUGCUAAUACCGCAUAAGCCCACGAUCCGGCAUCGGAUUGAGGGAAAAGGAUUUAUUCGCUUCAGGAUGGACUCGCGUCCAAUUAGCUAGUUGGUGAGGUAACGGCCCACCAAGGCGACGAUUGGUAGCCGGACUGAGAGGUUGAACGGCCACAUUGGGACUGAGGCACGGCCCAGACUCCUACGGGAGGCAGCAGUGGGGGAUAUUGCACAAUGGGGGAAACCCUGAUGCAGCGACGCCGCGUGGAGGAAGAAGGUUUUCGGAUUGUAAACUCCUGUCGUUAGGGACGAUAAUGACGGUACCUAACAAGAAAGCACCGGCUAACUACGUGCCAGCAGCCGCGGUAAAACGUAGGGUGCAAGCGUUGUCCGGAAUUACUGGGUGUAAAGGGAGCGCAGGCGGACCGGCAAGUUGGAAGUGAAAACUAUGGGCUCAACCCAUAAAUUGCUUUCAAAACUGCUGGCCUUGAGUAGUGCAGAGGUAGGUGGAAUUCCCGGUGUAGCGGUGGAAUGCGUAGAUAUCGGGAGGAACACCAGUGGCGAAGGCGACCUACUGGGCACCAACUGACGCUGAGGCUCGAAAGCAUGGGUAGCAAACAGGAUUAGAUACCCUGGUAGUCCAUGCCGUAAACGAUGAUUACUAGGUGUUGGAGGAUUGACCCCUUCAGUGCCGCAGUUAACACAAUAAGUAAUCCACCUGGGGAGUACGACCGCAAGGUUGAAACUCAAAGGAAUUGACGGGGGCCCGCGCAAGCAGUGGAGUAUGUGGUUUAAUUCGAAGCAACGCGAAGAACCUUACCAGGUCUUGACAUCCGAUGCAUAGCUUAGAGAUAAGUGAAGUCCUUCGGGACAUCGAGACAGGUGGUGCAUGGUUGUCGUCAGCUCGUGUCGUGAGAUGUUGGGUUAAGUCCCGCAACGAGCGCAACCCUUAUUGCCAGUUACUACGAAAGAGGACUCUGGCGAGACUGCCGUUGACAAAACGGAGGAAGGUGGGGAUGACGUCAAAUCAUCAUGCCCUUUAUGA